RNAcentral lists this unclassified non-coding RNA (228 nucleotides) under soil metagenome. Its description in RNAcentral is "partial internal transcribed spacer 1". The record is from RNAcentral.
ACCGAAAUUUAAAAACUCACAACGCGAGUCUCGUGCGGAAGCAAAUAUGACUGCCGAGACUAUGUGACUCUUCAAGUCUUCCUUUGCUCAAGUCAAACCACACUCGUGAAGCACAUGUGACGAGUCUGUGGUGAGCAUCGGGAGCAACUGCGUUUCCUUCGGGAUUCACAGUCUAAAAAAACGAAUUGUAAAAGUAUAUAUAUAAACACAAAAAAAGACGAAAAAAAU